This 326-nucleotide ribosomal RNA is filed under the name uncultured Thaumatomonas. RNAcentral describes it as "SSU rRNA". The stretch from base 110 to 326 matches the Rfam family "Eukaryotic small subunit ribosomal RNA", at positions 737 to 955 of the family's 1831-position model. Lineage: Eukaryota; Cercozoa; Imbricatea; Thaumatomonadida; Thaumatomastigidae. The record is from RNAcentral.
GAUUUCUGGUUUGAUGCGUUUGGCCCUCCCGGGUUUCCACUCGGCGUGCGUGCCGAUGCGCGUCUGCCAUCCUCGUUGAGAACGUUUCUACCCUUCACUGGGCCGGAUUCGCGAUCAGCGUCCUUUACUUUGAAAAAAUUAGAGUGUUUAAAGCAGGCUUGUGCUAUGAAUACAUUAGCAUGGAAUAAUAAUUUAGGACUUUAGUUCUAUUUUGUUGGUUUCUAGAGCUGAAGUAAUGAUUGAUAGGGAUAGUUGGGGGUGCUAGUAUUCAGUGGCCAGAGGUGAAAUUCUUGGAUUCACUGAAGACUAACUUAUGCGAAAGCAUU